This 520-nucleotide ribosomal RNA is filed under the name uncultured Glomus. RNAcentral's name for it is "SSU rRNA". It matches the Rfam family "Eukaryotic small subunit ribosomal RNA", at positions 569 to 1092 of the family's 1831-position model. The record is from RNAcentral. Lineage: Eukaryota; Fungi; Glomeromycota; Glomeromycetes; Glomerales; Glomeraceae.
AGCAACCGCGGUAAUUCCAGCUCCAAUAGCGUAUAUUAAAGUUGCUGCAGUUAAAAAGCUCGUAGUUGAAUUUCGGGACUAAUAUGUCGGUCGUGCCUCGGUACGUACUGGUAUUUUUGGUUUCUCCCUUCUGACGAACCUUGAUGUCAUUAAUUUGGUGUCUUGGGAAAUCAGGACUGUUACUUUGAAAAAAUUAGAGUGUUUAAAGCAGGCUCACGCUUGAAUACAUUAGCAUGGAAUAAUGAAAUAGGACGUUUGAUUCUAUUUUGUUGGUUUCUAGGAUCGACGUAAUGAUUAAUAGGGAUAGUUGGGGGCAUUAGUAUUCAAUUGUCAGAGGUGAAAUUCUUGGAUUUAUUGAAGACUAACUACUGCGAAAGCAUUUGCCAAGGAUGUUUUCAUUAAUCAAGAACGAAAGUUAGGGGAUCGAAGACGAUCAGAUACCGUCGUAGUCUUAACCAUAAACUAUGCCGACUAGGGAUCGGAUGAUGUUAAUUUUUAAUGACUCAUUCGGCGCCUUACG